This 439-nucleotide ribosomal RNA is filed under the name uncultured bacterium. RNAcentral's name for it is "partial 16S ribosomal RNA". It matches the Rfam family "Bacterial small subunit ribosomal RNA", at positions 339 to 795 of the family's 1533-position model. The record is from RNAcentral.
CUACGGGAGGCUCCAGUGAGGAAUAUUGCACAAUGGGGGGAACCCUGAUGCAGCAACGCCGCGUGGAGGAUGACGCAUUUCGGUGUGUAAACUCCUUUUAUAUGUCAAGAAAAUGACGGUAGCAUAUGAAUAAGCGCCGGCUAACUCCGUGCCAGCAGCCGCGGUAAUACGGAGGGCGCAAGCGUUACUCGGAAUCACUGGGCGUAAAGAGCGUGUAGGCGGAUUAAAAAGUCAGAAGUGAAAUCCUAUAGCUUAACUAUAGAACUGCACUUGAAACUUCUAAUCUAGAGUAUGGGAGGGGGAGAUGGAAUUAGUGGUGUAGGGGUAAAAUCCGUAGAUAUCACUAGGAAUACCUAAAGCGAAGGCGAUCUCCUGGAACAUUACUGACGCUAAGGCGUGAAAGCGUGGGGAGCAAACAGGAUUAGAUACCCCAGUAGUC